Molecule: ribosomal RNA, 445 nt
Filed under: Triticum aestivum (bread wheat)
Lineage: Eukaryota; Viridiplantae; Streptophyta; Magnoliopsida; Poales; Poaceae
Description: partial small subunit ribosomal RNA
Source: RNAcentral
UCCAGGCUUCAGUAAAAAAAAGUCCCCUGUUGGCUUCGCUCAAAAAAGAAAAAAAGCCCAUCCCCACCGCUACACAUCCAGAUGCGCCACCGCGCUACCGCCUCCGAUUCGCAGCCGGGAUGGAAGAUGUCGUUGCUGGCCUUCACAGAAGAUGCAAGCCCUAAUCAUGGCGAUUGGCGAUCCGGGGUGGACCAAGAAGCAGGGUCGAACUCUUUGAGUUGGGUGUUAGGUCGUUGGUAGCAGGCCAUCCAUGUCACGGCGGCAUUGAGAACAAAAAAAUGGUUGCUGGAGGGAGGCUGAUUGUGAUGGAUCUGAGGCAGAGGAUACACACCGGCCAUGGUCCAUGAGAAGUAUAUAUCGGAGUAUAUCCGUAUAAGCACAUUGGGGGAGAAAUAGCUAUUUGCGGCCUUUUUAGUUGCUCAUGUUUUUGGAUUUGUACCAACGU